CCUACGGGAGGCUGCAGUGAGGAAUAUUGGUCAAUGGGCGGGAGCCUGAACCAGCCAAGUCGCGUGAGGGAUGACGGCCCUAUGGGUUGUAAACCUCUUUUGCCGGGGAGCAAAGUGCCGCACGUGUGCGGUUUGGAGAGUACCCGGAGAAAAAGCAUCGGCUAACUCCGUGCCAGCAGCCGCGGUAAUACGGAGGAUCCGAGCGUUAUCCGGAUUUAUUGGGUUUAAAGGGAGCGUAGGUGGAUUGUUAAGUCAGUUGUGAAAGUUUGCGGCUCAACCGUAAAAUUGCAGUUGAAACUGGCAGUCUUGAGUACAGUAGAGGUGGGCGGAAUUCGUGGUGUAGCGGUGAAAUGCUUAGAUAUCACGAAGAACCCCGAUUGCGAAGGCAGCUUACUAAACUGUGACUGACAUUGAUGCUCGAAAGUGUGGGUAUCAAACAGGAUUAGAUACCCGAGUAGUC
This 460-nucleotide ribosomal RNA is filed under the name uncultured bacterium. RNAcentral's name for it is "partial 16S ribosomal RNA". It matches the Rfam family "Bacterial small subunit ribosomal RNA", at positions 338 to 795 of the family's 1533-position model. The record is from RNAcentral.